UACGUAGGUGGCAAGCGUUGUCCGGAAUUACUGGGUGUAAAGGGCGUGUAGGCGGGAAGGCAAGUCAGAUGUGAAAGCCCAUGGCUUAACUGUGGAACUGCAUCUGAAACUGUUUUUCUUGAGUACUGGAGAGGAAAGUGGAAUUCCUAGUGUAGCGGUGAAAUGCGUAGAGAUUAGGAGGAACACCAGUGGCGAAGGCGGCUUUCUGGACAGUAACUGACGCUGAGGCGCGAAAGCGUGGGGAGCAAACAGGAUUAGAUACCCUGGUAGU
This 271-nucleotide ribosomal RNA is filed under the name uncultured prokaryote. RNAcentral describes it as "partial 16S ribosomal RNA". It matches the Rfam family "Bacterial small subunit ribosomal RNA", at positions 524 to 794 of the family's 1533-position model. The record is from RNAcentral.